AUUGAACGCUGGCGGCAUGCUUUACACAUGCAAGUCGAACGGUAACAGCACUUCGGUGGCUGACGAGUGGCGAACGGGUGAGUAAUACAUCGGAACGUGCCUAGUAGUGGGGGAUAACUACUCGAAAGAGUAGCUAAUACCGCAUGAGAUCUAAGGAUGAAAGCAGGGGACCUUCGGGCCUUGCGCUACUAGAGCGGCUGAUGGCAGAUUAGGUAGUUGGUGGGAUAAAAGCUUACCAAGCCGACGAUCUGUAGCUGGUCUGAGAGGACGACCAGCCACACUGGGACUGAGACACGGCCCAGACUCCUACGGGAGGCAGCAGUGGGGAAUUUUGGACAAUGGGCGCAAGCCUGAUCCAGCAAUGCCGCGUGCAGGAUGGAGGCCUUCGGGUUGUAAACUGCUUUUGUACGGAACGAAAAGCCCUCUUCUAAUACAGGAGGGUCAUGACGGUACCGUAAGAAUAAGCACCGGCUAACUACGUG
RNAcentral lists this ribosomal RNA (482 nucleotides) under uncultured bacterium. Its description in RNAcentral is "partial 16S ribosomal RNA". It matches the Rfam family "Bacterial small subunit ribosomal RNA", at positions 30 to 507 of the family's 1533-position model. The record is from RNAcentral.